ACACAGCAUGGACAUGAGAGACAACGCUCAGCUCCUGGGGCUUCUGCUGCUCUGGUUCUCAGGUGUGAGAUGUGACAUCCUAAUGACUCAGUCUCCAUCCUUGCUGUCUGCAUCUCUGGGAGACAAAGUUACCAUCACUUGCAAGGCCAGUCAGAACAUUGCUAGUGGGUUAAGUUGGUAUCAGCAGAAACCAGGGGAAGCUCCUAAACUCCUUAUCUACCAUGCAUCCACACUGAAACCUGGGAUCCCAUCAAGGUUCAGUGGCAGUGGAUCUGGUACAGAUUUCACGCUCACCAUCAGUAGACUGGAGCCUGAAGACAUUGCCACUUACUUCUGUCAACAGGGUUAUAAUGCUCCUCCCACAGUGAUUCAAGUCAUAGCAAAAACCUCAUAG
Non-coding RNA from Nannospalax galili (Upper Galilee mountains blind mole rat), 394 nucleotides. The record is from the annotation of a RefSeq genome assembly. NCBI's taxonomy places the organism in Eukaryota, Metazoa, Chordata, Mammalia, Rodentia, Spalacidae.